AAAAUAAUAAAGAAAGCAAAGAUAACUAAGGUCAGGGCGUGACAGUGACAUUAGCUGUCUGACUUCAUUAGCAAGCCAAUUUUCACACCAUAAACUCAAUUAUUUGAUCAGAUGAGUUGGCUAAUGUUGCUCAACAUUUCUCUGGCUAGGUAACAGAGAAUUUGAUCUGUGCUAAUACUUGUUCUGCCACACUUUCUCCCUCACCUCAAACAUUCCAAAUGCCUGUUUUUCAGUUACAGCUCAUGAAGUACACUUCAUCCCCGUGGUCAUCAGGCUUCUCACCUAACAUUACCUCUGUUUUCGUUCAGGGGAUGUGCUGCUGUAACUGCCUUUCUACUCUAUGCGGUCUUUCCAGAGCACGUGCGGAUGCUGUAACCAGAGUUGCUAGCGCCUCAGCACAAGGUGGAGCUCAGCUGCCUUUGAACUCAAAGGUAACCAAGGUACAGUUUGGGACUGAUGUAUCCAUCUAUUGGCUCUUUGAGUACAUCAACAUUUCCCAGUGGAUUCAGCACCCUGCUGGUCAGAGACUUGAUCAGGCUUACCAAGCUGGCAAGUAGCUUAAGAGGAUCUACUUGCUCUCACCCAGCACUACUGUACCUCACUGAUGGACUGUCUGAGCUUGGUGCCGACCUGACUAGAGAUUUGGGAGAGAACGGGGAGUACAUCUCAAGGACAAGGUCACCAUCUCUGUCGGCUGGGUAGUGAGACAGUGUGUGCGUGGCAGGACGUUUGUGUGUGUGUGUGUGUGUGUGAAGUCAGUAUAAAAUGAAUUGUAUUCUUUACUUUGAACGUUCU
Molecule: long non-coding RNA, 795 nt
Organism: Oncorhynchus tshawytscha (Chinook salmon)
Lineage: Eukaryota; Metazoa; Chordata; Actinopteri; Salmoniformes; Salmonidae
Source: Ensembl